UAAAGGUAAAAGCUACGAUCUGUGGAGUAC
RNAcentral lists this non-coding RNA (30 nucleotides) under Rattus norvegicus (Norway rat). Lineage: Eukaryota; Metazoa; Chordata; Mammalia; Rodentia; Muridae. The record is from RNAcentral.